RNAcentral lists this ribosomal RNA (250 nucleotides) under uncultured Lachnospiraceae bacterium. Its description in RNAcentral is "partial 16S ribosomal RNA". It matches the Rfam family "Bacterial small subunit ribosomal RNA", at positions 524 to 773 of the family's 1533-position model. The record is from RNAcentral. Lineage: Bacteria; Bacillati; Bacillota; Clostridia; Lachnospirales; Lachnospiraceae.
UACGUAUGGAGCAAGCGUUAUCCGGAUUUACUGGGUGUAAAGGGUGCGUAGGUGGCAGUGCAAGUCAGAUGUGAAAGGCCGGGGCUCAACCCCGGAGCUGCAUUUGAAACUGCUCGGCUAGAGUACAGGAGAGGCAGGCGGAAUUCCUAGUGUAGCGGUGAAAUGCGUAGAUAUUAGGAGGAACACCAGUGGCGAAGGCGGCCUGCUGGACUGUUACUGACACUGAGGCACGAAAGCGUGGGGAGCAAAC